Molecule: ribosomal RNA, 433 nt
Filed under: uncultured bacterium
Lineage: Bacteria
Description: partial 16S ribosomal RNA
Rfam family: Bacterial small subunit ribosomal RNA
Source: RNAcentral
AACGAACGCUGGCGGCAUGCCUAACACAUGCAAGUCGAACGAGGCCUUCGGGUCUAGUGGCGCACGGGUGCGUAACGCGUGGGAACCUGCCCUUAGGUUCGGAAUAAAUCCCCGAAAGGGGUGCUAAUACCGGAUAAUGUCUUCGGACCAAAGAUUUAUCGCCUUUGGAUGGGCCCGCGUUGGAUUAGCUAGUUGGUAGGGUAAAAGCCUACCAAGGCGACGAUCCAUAGCUGGUCUGAGAGGAUGAUCAGCCACACUGGGACUGAGACACGGCCCAGACUCCUACGGGAGGCAGCAGUGGGGAAUAUUGGACAAUGGGCGAAAGCCUGAUCCAGCAAUGCCGCGUGAGUGAUGAAGGCCUUAGGGUUGUAAAGCUCUUUUACCCGGGAUGAUAAUGACAGUACCGGGAGAAUAAGCUCCGGCUAACUCCGUG